UGAGGAAUAUUGGUCAAUGGACGGAAGUCUGAACCAGCCAAGUAGCGUGCAGGAUGACGGCCCUAUGGGUUGUAAACUGCUUUUGUAUGGGGAUAAAGUUAGGGACGUGUCCCUAUUUGCAGGUACCAUACGAAUAAGGACCGGCUAAUUCCGUGCCAGCAGCCGCGGUAAUACGGAAGGUCCAGGCGUUAUCCGGAUUUAUUGGGUUUAAAGGGAGCGUAGGCUGGAGAUUAAGUGUGUUGUGAAAUGUAGACGCCCAACGUCUGAAUUGCAGCGCAUACUGGUUUCCUUGAGUACGCACAACGUUGGCGGAAUUCGUCGUGUAGCGGUGAAAUGCUUAGAUAUGACGAAGAACUCCGAUUGCGAAGGCAGCUGACGGGAGCGCAACUGACGCUUAAGCUCGAAGGUGCGGGUAUCAAACAGGAUUAGAUACCCUGGUAGUCCGCACAGUAAACGAUGGAUGCCCGCUGUUGGUACCUGGUAUCAGCGGCUAAGCGAAAGCAUUAAGCAUCCCACCUGGGGAGUACGCCGGCNCGGU
Molecule: ribosomal RNA, 538 nt
Filed under: uncultured bacterium
Lineage: Bacteria
Description: bacterial SSU rRNA
Rfam family: Bacterial small subunit ribosomal RNA
Source: RNAcentral